AGGUGCUGCCUGCAGUGGGGCUGAUGGAACUGCCUAUCUCUCCAGGCCAGGGAGCAUUAAUUGAGAGUCAGCCUUGCAAAGCCUCUGCUGUGGAAAGAAGCCAGACUGGCAGGUGAAAGAGGAGAAAGUAUUGGUGAGCACACUAAGCAGGGCUCAGCAGACACCCUCGAUGUGGUGGACUUCAGGCUCAGGGCUCUCCUCUCCAACCAGGCAAAAACUGGAAAUAACCCAAAUGGCCAUAACAGGAACACGGAUGAACAAACAGUGGUGUAGUGACACAACAGAACCCCUCAGCGAUGAACAGGAACCACAGUGACGAGGGUGAAGCAGUAUCCGUAUCCGCACACGGGCGCCGCCUGCAGCCACUACGCUGGGGUUGAAAUCACAACCGAAUAAAAGGUUUGGAUGGAUGACGCUGGCUGAGUGAACUUCUGUAUGUGACAUCAUUGGCGCAAGAUGGAUGUGCCCUGCAGACCCACUCCCACCGGUCUCAGAAAAAUGAGAAACGUGAGGAGCACAUCCAGACUGAAUGGAAUAGACGUCUGGUGGUGGUGAGCCGAACAAAACGUGUCCGGAUGCGCCAGAAUCAAGUCUGUGCUGAGAGCAGGUGUGGGCCUUGCCUCUGGCGAGUGUCAGAGCAGCUGAGAUGGCUUUCUGGAGCAGGUGGCCUUGCAAAUUGCCAAAGACCAGGAUGCCUGGGCACUGCCAGCUGAGUGUGAGGAGGGCUGGCAGCCGCCUUUGAGGGGACAGUCUGCUCAGUGUUAGAUUCCAAGCUGUCCUCUGCACUAACGUUUUCCUCCAAUUUACCCUCCUG
Non-coding RNA from Manis javanica (Malayan pangolin), 814 nucleotides. The record is from RefSeq and is a predicted model, not a curated record. Lineage: Eukaryota; Metazoa; Chordata; Mammalia; Pholidota; Manidae.